CCACUAAGCUAACCCUAAAACCUAAAACAUAUAAUACUUAAAACAUCCAUCAGCACACUACUAGAAAUGAACCUAGAAUUCCUACCCCCAAAAAAGGGACCCCGCCGUUUUCUUCAUUCCGGAAACACCCUCGAAGACCCUUGAUCUUCAGCUUCUUCUCCGCACGCUUCCCUUACAAAAAUGUCCCCAUCUCCACCCAGAAUUCAACAGCCUAAUGCCACUAACUCCACUCCUCCAUAGCCCCGCCCCAUCUCUACUAGAACUCCUCCAAUCUACUCCAGCCGCUACUACUCACUGAUCACACACAUACACACCAACAUAAUCAAAAACAGAGUGAGAGGGGGACAACCUGGUUGUUAAUCCAAAAAAAUAGAGAAGUUUUGGUUUAUUGUCUUCAGUGUCAAUUUCGAUUUUCAAUUUCAAAUUCAUAAAGUCCAUUUUGAAGUCCGUUCGGUGAGUUAUUUGGGGUUGAGAGCCGGAGACGUUCGAGGUCGUCGAGUCCCUAUUCCGUUUGUGGUUAUUUUCCGGUUCAUUUUUUAUUCCUUACUUUGUUUUGGUAUGACUGAAUGUAUAAUAAGAGUAAUAGAGGUUGAAUCCGGGGAACUAAUUUUUUUUUUUUUUGUGUAAGAGAUUUGGUCUAGUUUCCAUGUAAUGCUCUAUUCUGUCGAAAUAUGUUUUCUUCUUCAUAUUGUUAUGGUGAUGUUCUAUGUAUUAUUAAAGUUUAAGGCUAAAUGGCCAAAAUCAGUUGAACCGCCUAUGAAAUUAUCUAUGACGAAAAACCUGAAAUUCCCUUAUGUCUGGAGUGCAAUUACAUUUGUCUUUAUUCGGU
RNAcentral lists this long non-coding RNA (829 nucleotides) under Nicotiana benthamiana. Its description in RNAcentral is "long non-coding RNA (NBEN_LNC020449)". Lineage: Eukaryota; Viridiplantae; Streptophyta; Magnoliopsida; Solanales; Solanaceae. The record is from RNAcentral.